This 787-nucleotide ribosomal RNA is filed under the name Escherichia coli. Its description in RNAcentral is "partial 23S ribosomal RNA". It matches the Rfam family "Bacterial large subunit ribosomal RNA", at positions 406 to 1194 of the family's 2925-position model. The record is from RNAcentral. Lineage: Bacteria; Pseudomonadati; Pseudomonadota; Gammaproteobacteria; Enterobacterales; Enterobacteriaceae.
CGAUGAGUAGGGCGGGACACGUGGUAUCCUGUCUGAAUAUGGGGGGACCAUCCUCCAAGGCUAAAUACUCCUGACUGACCGAUAGUGAACCAGUACCGUGAGGGAAAGGCGAAAAGAACCCCGGCGAGGGGAGUGAAAAAGAACCUGAAACCGUGUACGUACAAGCAGUGGGAGCACGCUUAGGCGUGUGACUGCGUACCUUUUGUAUAAUGGGUCAGCGACUUAUAUUCUGUAGCAAGGUUAACCGAAUAGGGGAGCCGAAGGGAAACCGAGUCUUAACUGGGCGUUAAGUUGCAGGGUAUAGACCCGAAACCCGGUGAUCUAGCCAUGGGCAGGUUGAAGGUUGGGUAACACUAACUGGAGGACCGAACCGACUAAUGUUGAAAAAUUAGCGGAUGACUUGUGGCUGGGGGUGAAAGGCCAAUCAAACCGGGAGAUAGCUGGUUCUCCCCGAAAGCUAUUUAGGUAGCGCCUCGUGAAUUCAUCUCCGGGGGUAGAGCACUGUUUCGGCAAGGGGGUCAUCCCGACUUACCAACCCGAUGCAAACUGCGAAUACCGGAGAAUGUUAUCACGGGAGACACACGGCGGGUGCUAACGUCCGUCGUGAAGAGGGAAACAACCCAGACCGCCAGCUAAGGUCCCAAAGUCAUGGUUAAGUGGGAAACGAUGUGGGAAGGCCCAGACAGCCAGGAUGUUGGCUUAGAAGCAGCCAUCAUUUAAAGAAAGCGUAAUAGCUCACUGGUCGAGUCGGCCUGCGCGGAAGAUGUAACGGGGCUAAACCAUGCAC